AGAAAGGAAAUGGAAACUGAAACUCAUCUGGGCCACCAGCGCCCAGGUAGGGGAGCCUGUUAGUGGGGCCCCCAUUCCAGGACAGGCAGCGCCUGGGGAGUCACAGCCCUUUGGAAGCCGCAGGCGUCCACCCUCACGGAGAGCAGCAGUUUUCACUUGGAGCAAGCCCUUACUUCAAGUCCUGGUCACUGGCAGCCGAGCACCAUCUUAGCCUCGCUGUGAAUCGCGUGGACCCACACUCAGGGUGCUGUACUCACAGGCCCACAGCACCCCAGGGUGGGUCUCCGCCCUUCCUCAGCCGCUCCACUGAGGGCUUGGCCCUUCCCACUGGUUCCCACAGCUCGCUCACACCCCGCUCCUGCCCGGCAGCGAGUGCUGCUUCGCUUAACCUGAGAGAAGGCAGCUGGGCUCCGUGAAGCUGCAAAGCACCUGUGCCCUUGGCCCCGGACCCAGCCCGAAGUCUGCUCCUCCUGCUUGGACGUCCUCCCCACACUCGCCUCCAGGCCCCCACGCGGCCAGCCCCGGGCCUCUUAGAUAGAUUUUCCUGCUUGCACUGAACACACCUGGCAGAAACACUGCACCCACAGGGCGAUUUUCGGAUCGGCCUCAGGCCGGGCAACCCCACUGCCCCCUUCCCAGUCCCGGAGCCUGUGGGGUCCUGGUGCCCCAGGGACCCCAGCUGCAGGGGUCUGCUCCCUCUGAGGAGGAGUCCUUAAAUCCUCAUGGAUUCUAAUUCGUGGUACCUGAAAUUGAAUCCAUGGCUUUCACAAUGACAACCGUUUUCAUUUUAACAAUUUUGAUUCUUAGGGCCUUCCUACAUCACUAAGUUAUCUGGGCUGGAACUUCCCACCUCAGCCUCCCUGAGGGCUGGAUGACAGGUGUGCACCAGCAUGCCAGGCGUGGCACCCUGCUGAAAGGCUGCCCGAGUGCCCCAGUGUGGGGACAGCACUGCCCCACGCUGCCCGGCUCGCUGUAGACGCCCUGCUUGGCUUCUGCACCCCCACCCUCUCCUUCAACCCCGCUGGGUCUGCCUCUCCUCAGUCAACUCCGGUUGGUUGGGAAGAAAGGCCGAGAGCCCGGGCCUCGCCCAGGCAGACUCGGGUCCUACGAGGUUGACAGCGGGGUGGAUGGAGUAGCUGGGCGGGCCCGGCAUCCUGACUGAGGACCGGCCCAGCGCGCAGCUCAGGAGCUGGAGUCGAAACCCCGGGCGCGCGAGGCCCGAGGGGUGUUUUCUGAACGUCCUCUCGGUCUCAAGUACUUCCUUCCUGAGCCGCCGGCUGCUGAGCAGACAAAUACCCUGGGGCACAGGUUGCAGGUGAGGAGUCGGCCGGGCUAGAGACUGCAGGGCCCAGGCUGCAGGCACCGGAUCUUCAGUCCUUCAUUUGGUAUCUGGUGCUGUUCACAGGACCAAUCAGAAGAUGCUGUUUUCAAUCCCUCAUUUGCAUAGGGGCACAGCCAAUCGAAAGACGCUGUUGUUGAUCCUUCAUUUACAUAUGUCUACUUCUAACUGUCUGAUGCCCAGUGAUAGGGUGACUGCCCAAUGCCUCAUUUGCACGAGAAGGAGAUAACCCGGGAAUCUGGAGGAUAAAGACUUCCUCAUCCUCCGCUUGUGCCCCAAAGAGCGCAUUUCCACCUGGCUGCCUUUUCUGUGUCCUGUCCAGUUCUUUUUGUGGGACACCAACGAGGGAGAGAAACCCCGGGGACCCUACUUGGUGGCAGAAAGGUCCACGGUGCCCCUGAGUCCGCCGGCGGGGACAGCAGAUGGCCCGACUCUCCCAGGACCCGUCGACCACAGACAGAGAAUCCCACAGCAGGGUGCUCCCUGCCUCCGGAGCAGGCCUGCUUCUCUGCCUUCUCCCACCCUGGUCCCAUUUCUGUCCCCAGAGGAGGAAGGUGGUGAGUGUGGCAGAUUUUUAAACAAGUGUACACGGAUGUCCCGGGACGUCGCCUAGACACGGGGGCCACCACGGAGGGGAAGCUUGCUCCGCUGGGCCUGGGGUGGCUCCCAGCCCGGCCGCACCUGUUGGGCCCGGUUGGGGCUGGAAUACAGCCUCUCUCGUUGCUUCACCCCUCCCUGCCAGGAGAGGGCGCCGGUACGCCGGAGACCGCAGGGCGGGUACCCAGAUGAGCUGAGGCAAAGCCUGAUGCCUGGGAAACGCCACCUGUGACGCUUAGUUUUUAAAUAGGCAGAUUAAAAUCUGUGAUAUUUUUUCCAA
Molecule: long non-coding RNA, 2216 nt
Organism: Heterocephalus glaber (naked mole-rat)
Lineage: Eukaryota; Metazoa; Chordata; Mammalia; Rodentia; Bathyergidae
Source: RefSeq, a predicted model, not a curated record